This is a long non-coding RNA of Salvelinus fontinalis (brook trout), 194 nucleotides long. RefSeq lists it as uncharacterized. NCBI's taxonomy places the organism in Eukaryota, Metazoa, Chordata, Actinopteri, Salmoniformes, Salmonidae. The record is from RefSeq and is a predicted model, not a curated record. The transcript has 3 exons.
CUCCGGAGGUGGUGGGUGUCUGGCUAACUCCGGAGGUGGUGGGUGCCUGGCUAACUCCGGAGGUGGUGGGUGUCUGACUAACUCCGGAGGUGGUGGGUGUCCGGCUAACUCCGGAGGUGGUGGGUGUCUGACUAACUCCGGAGGUGGUGGGUGUCUGACUAACUCCGGAGGUGGUGGGUGCCUGACUAACUCCG